CAAAAUCGAAUCUCCUAAAAAAACAAACACAACAAUAGUACACCUUUCUAUCAAAGCAUGUGAACCAUUCAACAAUCUGGCUACCCACAUGCUCUCCCUCUUUGACAUAAAUAAAUCUACUAAAUUAACCAACUUUCCUAACAUGCAAAUUAAAUCCAAAAAGAAGAAAAGCAUCGUGUGAGAUUUCAUUACCUUCAACCUUCUUUUCACAAGUCACUUACUUUUUUUUCUAAUGCAACAACUUUCACCCAUUUUUGCUCAUUAUAUUUAGUGCCUUUUCAUUUAUGUUAUUUUGUAUUUAUCAAGUAGAAGAAAGUUUUUAAAUGUAUUAAAACAUAUGGGGUCUCAUUGUCAUCUUCUUUUUAUAUGAUUUUGCUUUGUUAAUUAGUAUAUCAAAUUAAGGAAAACGAUUGAGACUCGUCAUGCUUUUUGGUUUAGCAUAAUAUUGCAUGUGUUUGAUUGCUAUUGGUUACUAUUUUUUUAAUGAAAAAUAAAGAAUCAUUAUACCAAUUAUUUUUUUCAUGAUUUGGAGCACAAAGUCUAUAGGCUUCUCGAAGGGAAUAACUAUAAAUAAAUAGAAAAUUUGACAUAUUUAUUUUGCUUUCAUCCAUUUGAUACCUACCAAAAUAUUGUCCGUUCAUUUUUAUUUUUUUUAGUGUGGAGAAAUAUUCUUUCCAUUUGAAUGCAGGCAAUUAAGAGUUGGAAUACAAGCUGUUAACUAAAGAAAGAAAAAGAUAUAUGGAUACUCACUUAAAAAAGAUGGGUGGAUAAGAUUUUUAUUCUUAUCACACAUUAACUAAAAUGAAGAUUACUCUAAACCACUAAUAGUUUAAGUUUUAUUAAAAAGUUUUAAAUUAUUCUCCCAAACUUGUUGUCAACCCUCAAUUUAGUUGAUUUGUAUUCCUUCUUUUUUGCGCACUUGGUGGUGGCUACACAUUCAGUCUUAUGGUCAAUCUAAGGUUACCAUUAUGCAUGUAUCUAAUUAUCAUAAAAGUAAAAUAAAUGGCCACUUGUUUUACUGGUUGGUUACUCCUCAAUGUGGAAUUAAAAAUACACAUUGUUGAGGGAGCUCUUUCAACGUGGCAGCCAGAUUUUUUUUUAUAUUCUAAUAUUUAAGUCAACGAAAUUUAUAGAUAUUUAGUUUGAGAGUGAGAAUGUGAUAAUAUCUUAAAUGAUGCGUCGUUAGACUUAUAUAUGGAAGACGGUUAAAAUUACUUCUGUCUAACCUGACGUGAGACACGAUGAGUCGUCCGAUCAGAUCCAAUGACAAAUGAAACAUUAGGAGUUGAGAUUAAGUGUCUGGCUUUUGGCAAGGUCCCACUUAUUUUUUUAAUCGCUUAAUGGACUCUACAGAUUGUGCCUCAUAAUUAGGCCUUCUUUUUUAGGAUUUUGGCUAAUCUGAAACAUUUUCCCUAAGUCCUUGCGUGAGGAUUGACAUUGUCGGACCUCCCUUUGAUGUCAUCAUAUUAUGUCUUGGUUAGCCAUGGAUUCGUGGAAGAUGAAGAGUUCUAUAAGUUAGAAUAGGUGGUCUCGAGAACACUCGUAUUAAAUGUUUGUAUCAAAAAGUGAAGUCAGACCUAGGCAGGUCGGAUCUCGACGGAAGCUCGUCGAUGACCUCGACAAACAUGUCUUUGUUGUCUUGGUAUGUCAGGAUGACAAGAGAACUUUGAUUUUCGUCUUUGAAGAAAUGGUUAAAAUUUUCAUAAAGUUUUUAUAACUAUAAAAUUAUAAUUAUAAUUUUUAAAUAAAAAUAACUUUAUUUUCUCUUAUCUUAUAAUAGAAAUUAUCUCAUACUUAAAUACAUAUACUUAUGUAUAAAACGCUUAAUCAAAUCAUUUACGUAAACAACUAAAUUAAACUUUCUUUCUAGCUAAGCAACUUCUUCAAUCACGAUUCAUAAUAAAAGAUACCAACCUAUAGAUCGCAUUGUAUCUAUUUUAAAUCAAUUAUAAGAAUGUUUAUUUUUUAGAACAAUUAUUUAGUAUUUAUCAAUCUUGUUGAGCACUACUCUCUGCAUAAAAUUAUUUGAGCGUUCAUAUUUUAAUUUUAAUUAUUGCCUAUGUAUUUUUUUACAGAAAUUAUUGCCUAAAAUUACUACAUGGAAAUUCUCUUUCACUCUAUUGCUGGUAAAGUAAUUAGUUGAUUUCCAUUCUUUUUUUUUGCGCACUGUAAUGGUGGCUACACAUUCAGUCUUAGGGUCAAUCUAAGGUUACCAUUGUGCAUGUAUUUAGUUAUCAUGAAAGUAAAAUAAAUGGCCACUUUUUUUUUAUCUGGUUGGUUACAACUUACAAGUAACUUUUAGAGAUUAAAUAUUAUCAUCAUGUUAUAAGUCAAAAAAGUUGUUAAAUGCAUUUUACAUCAUUGUUGAUUUUAAACAUUUUAGUGUGACAUUUAUUACAAAGACAACCCUAGAGUGCUCACUGAUAUUGUUUUUUAAAAAAGAAGAUAACCCAAAAGUCCUUCCAUUAUAAUGUUUUGUUAUACGUGGGAAAAAGAUUAUGCGUUCAGACAAAGAUAGUGAUUGAAAGUCUUUAAAUAGAAUCUCUUCAUUAUUAUCUUCUGUUUGUUUUCACUAUUUAAGACGUAGAAGUACAGAUUUUGUCAUUGAAAAAGACAAAAAAAUGUAGUUUUUUUGUCAAAUAAAAAUGAAUAAGUAUAAAUUCAGGCUCUAUUAAUUCGGAUAUCAAUUUGUUGAUAUUUAAAAUUAUUUUUUGAGACCAGUCAAAAUAUUAUUUUAUUAUUACUUUUUGAUUUUACAAUAUAUUAUUAGUGUUAUUUUUUGACAAAAUAUUGUAUAUACAAACUUUUUGUAAUGAUUAUUUAUUAUAAGUAGAAAGUUUUGAUUUAAAAAAUCUUCUCCUUCUUCAUUUUUGUUAUUUAUUUAUUGUCUUUUUAUAAUAUUAAAGAAAGAAGUAUAGUUUCAAAAGAAUAGAUUGUACUAUUUUUAUUUGUAAUGAGAAGUUUAACUAUUUUAAAUCUAUCUUUUUUUAUAUUUUAUCAUAUUUCUAAUACAACUCUUUCAAAUGAUUCUAGAUGAUGACAUUCAAUCAAAGAAUAAUUAUCUCAAGCCUCGUCAGUCAAAGAUAUCAAGUUUCAGUCAAAGUGUUAGACAUUGAUGAAUCAAGCAAAGGAAUUUGUAGACAUGGAGUUGUGAUUUUGAAGCUCGAAGGCUUGAAAGUGUGAAAGUGUGAAAACUUGUUUGAUCUAGCACUUAGAGUUUUUCUUAGUCUUGAUCAAUUUAUUGUAAAAUAAACAAGAGGAAAUCUUACUAAGAUAAUCACACACACAUAAAAAAACGAUCUUCAAAACUCUUCUCUUUUGUUAAAACCUCUUCAAAUCAAUUAGGGCAACCACUUAAUUGAUUGAACGCUUACUUAAUCAAUUAGAAAUGUUAAAAUACAUUGCCU
This 3407-nucleotide long non-coding RNA is filed under the name Lathyrus oleraceus (garden pea). RNAcentral describes it as "Pisum sativum (pea) long non-coding RNA (PSAT_LNC029645)". Lineage: Eukaryota; Viridiplantae; Streptophyta; Magnoliopsida; Fabales; Fabaceae. The record is from RNAcentral.